UCCAUUUGAACUGGAAUAUCAGAAUCCAAAAUGGCUGCACUGUACAUCAACAGCAGUAGUGUAACACAGUUUAUUAUCACUUCUUUCUGUUUGUGUCUCAUUUAAUCAGUCAUACACACAGUAACUAGUGUCACAAGCAAUGCUAACCUGGGAAGAUGCUAACAACAUUAGCUUAUAUGUGAAGAUCCUCCAGUGCAGUAAACUCAGAAGGGACAUCAUUCCCAGUGCCAACAUUCAUCAUCAGAGCCUGCAAGCAGUAUUCACCCAUCUGAGACAGAGAGAGAUACAGGGGAAAAGGAGGGAGAGAGAAGAGAGAGAGAGAGUGAGAGGGGGAGGGGCCGCCCGGCAGGAUUCAGAGUUCAAGUGCACGUGCAGGGAGUGAUCUCCAGCAAAGAAAGAAAGACAUCGAAAGGCAGAGAGGUAUUCACCCAGGAAUGAAGGUUUGGGGGUGAGAAGGAGGGGUGAAAGAAAAUCGAAGUCCAGAGCAGAGACGUGAACAAGAAAAUGUAUUCGAGCCAGCCCCCUCCCCUUAACUCUCUCCUCUGCCACACUCCUCCUCGUUCCCUCCCUCCUGUGAACCCCAGCCUCUUGUUUCUUUCUCUAUCAAUUGCUCUCUCUCUUUUUCUCCCUCUCUCUUUCUCCCCUCCCACCUCUUCAUGCACUCGCAUGCAUUCAAUCACACACAUGCAUGCAUGCACCCUGUACUGUCUCCCUCUCUUACGCACGACUGUCUCUCUCUACCUAGCACUCUCCCUCUCUCUCCUAUUAUCCUUCACUCUCUGGUGACCACACUCAGAGCAGUCUACUGAGCUUUCUGCUGCUUCUCUUCUCCUCUGUCUCUCUCUCUCUCUCUUUCGCCUUUCGCUGCCUUGCGUUUCUUCCUGCCGGACCGAGAAACAUGGGCUGCCUCUCAAUGGUUCCCCCUCGUGCCUCCCUGAACAAAUCAGGCCCCACAACUCAAACAGACCUGUUCUUUCAGUUCUUUCCCUUUCUUUGACCUCCUCGACUUGCCCACUGAAGAGCUCAAGAUCAAGUUUUUCCCACACUGACUUCACAAUUUCUUAAGGCUUCUUAAGAUCUUUCCGUCCCACCAGACUCGCAAAACUGUGCUAACCAAUUCCAAAUCUUGACAGCCCAAGUGAGUGUCUUCAGUCUUCUGAUGCGAAGAAAUCCAACAAAGAUGGGGAGACGGCUGAAUGCUGAAUGGACAGAUGAAGAAAAAGAAGAAGAAGAGGAAGAAGUCAGCAAGCAACCUUAAAGGAUGGGUGAGAAACGGAGGAGGCGUGAGAGAGUGAGAAAUGGGGUUCCAACUUAGAGGAGUGCAAUAUAAGAGAGGGUGAUAAGCGAGAAGAGAAGUGAGGGAUCUGGACUCAGCUGCAGCUGAAGAUGACCAAAGGAUAGAUACAGCAUAAAAGGAACAGCGGCAGCUUUUGCAGAACAGAAGACAAAGAAAGUAAAAAAAAAGGAGUGUGAAGAGAGGACAACUCUGCACCAACAUGGCAUGGAAAACCAUGUGUUACGCUUUUCUGUGGGUCCAGAAAGACGUGCAUGUGCAGAACACAGGGCCUAGAGGAAUGCUGUCUUCCACCUCUGCUGUCUUUUGUCAUCUGUGGAAUUCUGUCCCACUGAAAUUAAAGAAGGACCUCGGCUUGUUUACUCUACAGAUAAGUAAAUAAAAUCCUUGGAACAUCCA
Molecule: long non-coding RNA, 1693 nt
Organism: Astyanax mexicanus (Mexican tetra)
Lineage: Eukaryota; Metazoa; Chordata; Actinopteri; Characiformes; Acestrorhamphidae
Exons: 5
Source: RefSeq, a predicted model, not a curated record